ACGUGGGCAACCUGCCGGACUGAUGGGAAUAACCCCGGGAACCGGGGCGUAAUGCCCAACUACGCCCUCGACCUCGCCUGAGGUCAGCGGUAAAGCAGGGAUCUUCGGAUCCUUGCACAGUCCGAUGGGCCCGCGGCGCAUUAGCUAGUUGGAGAGGUAAGGGCUCCCCAAGGCGACGAUGCGUAGCCGACCUGAGAGGGUGAUCGGCCACACUGGGACUGAGACACGGCCCAGACUCCUACGGGAGGCAGCAGUAGGGAAUUUUCCGCAAUGGGCGAAAGCCUGACGGAGCAAUACCGC
Molecule: ribosomal RNA, 300 nt
Filed under: uncultured Marinococcus sp.
Lineage: Bacteria; Bacillati; Bacillota; Bacilli; Caryophanales; Bacillaceae
Description: bacterial SSU rRNA
Rfam family: Bacterial small subunit ribosomal RNA
Source: RNAcentral